AAUGGCAGGUCAGCAUACUGCCGUGAAUACGUUCCUGGGCCUUGUACACACCGCCCGUCACACCAUGAGAGUUGGGAAUACCCGAAGCCUGUGAGCUAACGCAAGAGGCAGCAGUCGAAGGUAGAAUCAAUGAUUGGGGUGAAGUCGUAACAAGGUAAC
This 159-nucleotide ribosomal RNA is filed under the name uncultured bacterium. RNAcentral's name for it is "partial 16S ribosomal RNA". It matches the Rfam family "Bacterial small subunit ribosomal RNA", at positions 1340 to 1500 of the family's 1533-position model. The record is from RNAcentral.